ACUGACUGACUGACUGACUGACAGAUGCCUGAACUGCACAGGUCAACUUUACUUCCAGAAAUGACCUUGUUUCAGUGUGCUGACAACAUGCCUGAUAUGGUCACCACCAUAGAAAAGGAUCCUGGGAAUUUGAAGUUUAAGUCUCAGUACUUGGAAUCAAAAAUUGUUGAACCCAGCCUUUGUCAGAGAGAAGAACUGAGAAAAAUAGACACCUUCAAACCAGCAGAACUCAAGUGGGAUUCCAAACUCAUACUACCAAAAUCCCCCUGGCCACCGAAGUCAGCUUCAUACACGAGGCAUCGGCGCAGAAGAGGAGUGUACAGUGCUUUUAUGGAUCGUGUGGAGGAGAAGCUCACCAGGUCUUGGAUGAAAGAAUAAUGAGACAAAAUCAUUUUAAAAACCACAGUAGAGCUGUGAAGUGGACUGUAGAAGGAAUUUAGACAUUUUAAGUGAGAUUCCAAACCACAGGAAGUGGAAGCUUUCAGAUAAAAGGGAACUUCAGAGAACAUAGGAAGUAGUGAAUAUCAGUUUAUUACUUCAUAUGAAACUGAUUUUUUUUACUCAUCUGUCACAACACAAUGGAAACAUCACAUCAACCUGUUGUAUACCCAUAAAAUCACAUUUAUUUUCAUUUUACAUACAAAAAAUGAUAGACUGCUGCAGCUCAUUUGUUUGCUAGUUACUUUAGCAGGCAAAGAAGCUGCUGAAGAAUAUUGUUAACCCAGCUAGGGCUGGACAAAAUAUGAAUAUGAAUAGAAAUUAAUAAGUGGGGAUUUACCUAAAUGAUGUAUAUUCCCU
RNAcentral lists this long non-coding RNA (798 nucleotides) under Astyanax mexicanus (Mexican tetra). RNAcentral's name for it is "lncRNA (ENSAMXG00005015755.1)". The record is from RNAcentral. Lineage: Eukaryota; Metazoa; Chordata; Actinopteri; Characiformes; Acestrorhamphidae.